Arachis ipaensis is the source of this 1509-nucleotide non-coding RNA. The record is from RefSeq and is a predicted model, not a curated record. Lineage: Eukaryota; Viridiplantae; Streptophyta; Magnoliopsida; Fabales; Fabaceae.
AUCCAUGGAAUCGGAAGGAGCAGAGCUCGCAAGAUUCUCUGCGAUAUAAGCGUGGACAACAAGGUCACUAAGGAUCUCAGCGAAGAGGAACUCAUCACUCUUAGAGAUAAAGUCUCCAAAUACGUCAUUGAAGGCGAUUUGGAGAUUGAAGGAGAUUCAAUGUUACAGAGGAUAGGUAGAUAGGUACGUUUGCUGAAGAAGGCAAACGAAAUCUCAGUGCUAUGCGAUGCCGAGGUCGCACUCAUCAUCUUCUCUACCAAAGGCAAGCUCUUCGAAUAUUCCAGCGAUCCCUGGGAUGGAUCAUAUCAUUGAGUCUUCAAGCAGGUAACCUCCUAAUCGCCGAUUCCGAUCCAUUAAGAACUCAGUCGCCACACACCAAAACCCUAAUCUCUCUGAGAGCGACUUCGCAUUCCACUUUCAGCAGAGAUGGGUGAGGAGGUGAAAGCAAUUGUUCCCGAGUCUGUGCUUAAGAAGCAAAAGAGGGAAGAGGAAUGGGCCUUGAAGAAAAAGGAGGAGCUUGAUGCUGCAAAGAAAAAGAGAGCUGAGAGCCGCAAGCUCAUUUACAGCAGGGCAAAGCAAUAUGCAAAGGAAUACCAGGAGCAGAAAAAGGAGCUGAUAAUUGAAGAGACUACGAUGCACUGCAUUGCCAUUGAUUUGUCAUUGCAGUGAGGAUUUUAGGUUUCCUUUGUAAGAGACUUCAUAAUCCAAGAGACUAGGAUGAAUUGCCAUUGAUAAAUAAUUGUAGUGAUAUCAAAACACUUAAUAUGUUGCUUUACUUAAUUGUCGUGCAUAUGUGAUAUCAAAACUUAAAUCUACCUAAUAAUUUAUACUUAUUUAAAUAUUUCAUGUACAGAUAUUGGAUUAACAAUAUGGAACACCAAAAAAAGGAUAACUAAAUAAAUUAAAAUAAAAUUUAAAGAGGUUGAGAAGGUUGGUGGAAAGGACUUGCCACUAUGCAAAGAGCAAUAUGUGGCCUUUUUGGACUCGCUCAUUCUUGGGUUGGACUCGCUCAUUCUUGGGGAGUGGGAAGAUCGGAUGCCGAGAAGGCUUUUUCGCUAUGACGUUACUGCCUGUGAAACUAAGGUUGAAAUUGAUGGUGGCUUUUUCUUCCUUGUUGGUUUAAAGAACUUGAAGAAGAAUUGGAAUUCCAACUCCAAGGAGUAAGAAAAGAUUCAUCUUUCUCAAGAAAAGAUGUCAGACGAGGAGCAAUGUCCACUGCCUUUGGCGUCGUAGUUGCGCCACCACCACCAAUGGUUGUUCUUUCUUCCACAGAGUAACCACUUUGUUGUUCUUGGUUCUUCUUGUUCUUAGUUUCUUGCUCUUGCUCCUCUAUUAUCUUUAUCAAUUGUUGAUGCUUGUAAUUCUCCAUCUGUUUCUCUUCAUUAUAGCGGUAUUCCAUUCAUAACAAGGCAGAUACAAUAGUUUAGUAAAGGACAAAAAAAACUUACAUCAAUAUGUAAACAAUAAUUGUUCAAAAGUUAUAGCAUAUAAAGGAAUAUUAUUUAAAUA